RNAcentral lists this ribosomal RNA (440 nucleotides) under uncultured Arcobacter sp. RNAcentral's name for it is "bacterial SSU rRNA". It matches the Rfam family "Bacterial small subunit ribosomal RNA", at positions 338 to 795 of the family's 1533-position model. Lineage: Bacteria; Pseudomonadati; Campylobacterota; Epsilonproteobacteria; Campylobacterales; Arcobacteraceae. The record is from RNAcentral.
CCUACGGGUGGCUGCAGUGGGGAAUAUUGCACAAUGGAGGAAACUCUGAUGCAGCAACGCCGCGUGGAGGAUGACACUUUUCGGAGCGUAAACUCCUUUUAUAUAGGAAGAUAAUGACGGUACUAUAUGAAUAAGCACCGGCUAACUCCGUGCCAGCAGCCGCGGUAAUACGGAGGGUGCAAGCGUUACUCGGAAUCACUGGGCGUAAAGAGCGUGUAGGCGGGUUAUUAAGUCAGAAGUGAAAUCCUAUGGCUCAACCAUAGAACUGCUUUUGAAACUGGUAACCUAGAGUAUGGGAGAGGUAGAUGGAAUUUCUGGUGUAGGGGUGAAAUCUGUAGAUAUCUGGAAGAACACCGGUGGCGAAGGCGAAUGUCUGGCCAUGUACUGACGCUGAGACGCGAAGGUGCGGGGAGCAAACAGGUUUAGAUACCCCAGUAGUC